Anolis carolinensis (green anole) is the source of this 1223-nucleotide long non-coding RNA. RefSeq lists it as uncharacterized. The record is from RefSeq and is a predicted model, not a curated record. The transcript has 2 exons. NCBI's taxonomy places the organism in Eukaryota, Metazoa, Chordata, Lepidosauria, Squamata, Anolidae.
ACACUUCAAACCAGUAGGUCCUGGCAUGCCUUGAGGGAGGGGCAUUAAAGCCAAGGAAAGACUGACCCCUUAUAUUUCCAGGGUGAGAUUUCUGUUCAGCCCUUCCAAGGGUUAAAUUGAUAGAAGAAGGUUCCUAGAAAGGCUUCACACUCAAGGGUCCUCCUCUUCCUCCUUCUGCUAUUUGUGUGAUUCUUCCAGACCCCUUUCUAAGUAGUGAAUGGAGAGAGCACUCUACCAAUUGACAUCCAGGCAGAUCUGAAUAUACCCAUGAGCACUGAUCAGAGAUGGAACAAGACUCCAAUGAUCCUAAGGAAAAACAUGGCCCUCCUAGGAAGGACCACACAGAAGACCUUCUUGGAGGAGGUGUUCAAAGUGGACGUCCAGCUACAGCACUUCAGGUGGUUCUGCUAUGACGAAGCUAUGGGUCCCCGAGAGGUGUGCAGCCGCCUCCACUCUCUCUGCCGCCUGUGGCUGAAGCCUGAGGAACAUACAAAGGCGGAGAUGCUGGACCUGGUGCUCCUGGAGUUCCUCUGGAGUUUCUGGCAGAGAAAUAGCUAGUUCCUUCCCAUCAAAACUAUUUCUGAAAUGUCAGUUUGGGAAACAUAAUAGAUAAUUAUUUAGAGAUAAAGAAAUAAUGGUAUGAACAGAGAGGCACACAAGGACUGGUUACCAGCUGAAUCCUGAGUAACAGAUAUCAAAUCUAAUUGGAAAUGCCAUCUGAAUGAUAUCUAAAGCAGGGAGGUUAAGUUUUUUAAAUCCCUAAAAUUCAAGUGUUGUUUUCAAUGGUGAUUGAAAGCAGUAAACAUCGUACCAUGGUUCAUCUAACACUGUGAAACAUGUAAAAUAUCUUUUGUUUUAAUACAAAGACCCAGUUUCUAUUGAUAGACAGAUUGUUGGCACUCAAGAUAGUUUAAGAACUCAUGAAUAUAGUAUGUACAAAAUGAAUGCAAACAAAUAACAACUCUGCCUCCUCUUCCAAAAAAAAAGUCGUAAUUGGACAUAGCGAAAUCAACAUUUGCAUCUAAUGAAUUUCCGUAACAGCUAUUAGAAGACUCGCUCAAACCUAUAGACAGAACAUACAUUUUACGAAAUUAAUUGAAACUUAAUUCCAUAGUAGAGACCACAGUCCAUUGAUGAGACUAAAUGUGUCUGUCCAACUCCAUUUGUUCCUGAAACUAUGCUCCUUAUAUUUAUUAACCAACAAUAAAUAUUUAUGAAAAAUA